GCCCGGGUAGUGUAGUGGCCUAUCAUGAGGCCCUGUCGAGGCUUCGACUCGGGUUCAAAUCCCGACUCGGGCG
Molecule: transfer RNA, 73 nt
Filed under: Methanocellales archaeon
Lineage: Archaea; Methanobacteriati; Methanobacteriota; Methanomicrobia; Methanocellales
Also listed under: 1 other name
Description: tRNA-Asp
Rfam family: tRNA
About the family: Transfer RNA (tRNA) molecules are approximately 80 nucleotides in length.
Source: RNAcentral